This 2664-nucleotide ribosomal RNA is filed under the name Salmonella enterica subsp. enterica serovar Typhimurium. Its description in RNAcentral is "partial 23S ribosomal RNA". It matches the Rfam family "Bacterial large subunit ribosomal RNA", at positions 200 to 2802 of the family's 2925-position model. The record is from RNAcentral. Lineage: Bacteria; Pseudomonadati; Pseudomonadota; Gammaproteobacteria; Enterobacterales; Enterobacteriaceae.
AUCUAAGUACCCCGAGGAAAAGAAAUCAACCGAGAUUCCCCCAGUAGCGGCGAGCGAACGGGGAGGAGCCCAGAGCCUGAAUCAGCAUGUGUGUUAGUGGAAGCGUCUGGAAAGGCGCGCGAUACAGGGUGACAGCCCCGUACACAAAAGCGCAUGUGCUGUGAGCUCGAUGAGUAGGGCGGGACACGUGGUAUCCUGUCUGAAUAUGGGGGGACCAUCCUCCAAGGCUAAAUACUCCUGACUGACCGAUAGUGAACCAGUACCGUGAGGGAAAGGCGAAAAGAACCCCGGCGAGGGGAGUGAAAAAGAACCUGAAACCGUGUACGUACAAGCAGUGGGAGCACCCUUCGGGGUGUGACUGCGUACCUUUUGUAUAAUGGGUCAGCGACUUAUAUUCUGUAGCAAGGUUAACCGUAUAGGGGAGCCGGAGGGAAACCGAGUCUUAAUUGGGCGUUAAGUUGCAGGGUAUAGACCCGAAACCCGGUGAUCUAGCCAUGGGCAGGUUGAAGGUUGGGUAACACUAACUGGAGGACCGAACCGACUAAUGUUGAAAAAUUAGCGGAUGACCUGUGGCUGGGGGUGAAAGGCCAAUCAAACCGGGAGAUAGCUGGUUCUCCCCGAAAGCUAUUUAGGUAGCGCCUCGUGAAUUCAUCUCCGGGGGUAGAGCACUGUUUCGGCUAGGGGGCCAUCCCGGCUUACCAACCCGAUGCAAACUGCGAAUACCGGAGAAUGUUAUCACGGGAGACACACGGCGGGUGCUAACGUCCGUCGUGAAGAGGGAAACAACCCAGACCGCCAGCUAAGGUCCCAAAGUCAUGGUUAAGUGGGAAACGAUGUGGGAAGGCCCAGACAGCCAGGAUGUUGGCUUAGAAGCAGCCAUCAUUUAAAGAAAGCGUAAUAGCUCACUGGUCGAGUCGGCCUGCGCGGAAGAUGUAACGGGGCUAAACCAUGCACCGAAGCUGCGGCAGCGAACGUAUCACCCAAGACAACUUUACGGAGUUGACGAUUGACGGAGCGAAGCGACGUCAAAGCGUUCAUUAAAGUCGAGUUGGCUUAGGGAUACGUUCGUUGGGUAGGGGAGCGUUCUGUAAGCCUGUGAAGGUGUGUCGUGAGGCAUGCUGGAGGUAUCAGAAGUGCGAAUGCUGACAUAAGUAACGAUAAAGCGGGUGAAAAGCCCGCUCGCCGGAAGACCAAGGGUUCCUGUCCAACGUUAAUCGGGGCAGGGUGAGUCGACCCCUAAGGCGAGGCCGAAAGGCGUAGUCGAUGGGAAACGGGUUAAUAUUCCCGUACUUGGUGUUACUGCGAAGGGGGGACGGAGAAGGCUAUGUUGGCCGGGCGACGGUUGUCCCGGUUUAAGCGUGUAGGUGUGUGUUCCAGGUAAAUCCGGUUCACUUUAACACUGAGGCGUGACGACGAGGCACUACGGUGCUGAAGCAACAAAUGCCCUGCUUCCAGGAAAAGCCUCUAAGCAUCAGGUAACAUCAAAUCGUACCCCAAACCGACACAGGUGGUCAGGUAGAGAAUACCAAGGCGCUUGAGAGAACUCGGGUGAAGGAACUAGGCAAAAUGGUGCCGUAACUUCGGGAGAAGGCACGCUGACACGUAGGUGAAGUGAUUUACUCAUGGAGCUGAAGUCAGUCGAAGAUACCAGCUGGCUGCAACUGUUUAUUAAAAACACAGCACUGUGCAAACACGAAAGUGGACGUAUACGGUGUGACGCCUGCCCGGUGCCGGAAGGUUAAUUGAUGGGGUCAGCGCAAGCGAAGCUCCUGAUCGAAGCCCCGGUAAACGGCGGCCGUAACUAUAACGGUCCUAAGGUAGCGAAAUUCCUUGUCGGGUAAGUUCCGACCUGCACGAAUGGCGUAAUGAUGGCCAGGCUGUCUCCACCCGAGACUCAGUGAAAUUGAACUCGCUGUGAAGAUGCAGUGUACCCGCGGCAAGACGGAAAGACCCCGUGAACCUUUACUAUAGCUUGACACUGAACAUUGAGCCUUGAUGUGUAGGAUAGGUGGGAGGCUUUGAAGCGUGGACGCCAGUCUGCGUGGAGCCGACCUUGAAAUACCACCCUUUAAUGUUUGAUGUUCUAACGUGGACCCGUAAUCCGGGUUGCGGACAGUGUCUGGUGGGUAGUUUGACUGGGGCGGUCUCCUCCUAAAGAGUAACGGAGGAGCACGAAGGUUGGCUAAUCCUGGUCGGACAUCAGGAGGUUAGUGCAAUGGCAUAAGCCAGCUUGACUGCGAGCGUGACGGCGCGAGCAGGUGCGAAAGCAGGUCAUAGUGAUCCGGUGGUUCUGAAUGGAAGGGCCAUCGCUCAACGGAUAAAAGGUACUCCGGGGAUAACAGGCUGAUACCGCCCAAGAGUUCAUAUCGACGGCGGUGUUUGGCACCUCGAUGUCGGCUCAUCACAUCCUGGGGCUGAAGUAGGUCCCAAGGGUAUGGCUGUUCGCCAUUUAAAGUGGUACGCGAGCUGGGUUUAGAACGUCGUGAGACAGUUCGGUCCCUAUCUGCCGUGGGCGCUGGAGAACUGAGGGGGGCUGCUCCUAGUACGAGAGGACCGGAGUGGACGCAUCACUGGUGUUCGGGUUGUCAUGCCAAUGGCACUGCCCGGUAGCUAAAUGCGGAAGAGAUAAGUGCUGAAAGCAUCUAAGCACGAAACUUGCCCCGA